UUAGCCUAAACAUAGGCUGUGCUAAUAACCCACCACAGCGUUUUCUGAGCGCAUAAAAGGACUAGCUUGGAUUUUUUUUUUUCCUAGCUUGUCCUGUCAAGAAAUACAAACGUUGAUCUUUUUGCAGUGUGCCAGGCGUAUAGCAGAACUUUUGCUCAUUCAGUUUUUUUGAGGAUGUGCUCUUCUCGAGGAGACUUUCUUUCAAGGGAACCUCUGAUCCUUGGUUAUUUUACCUAAGCUAAGUGAUGGGAACAUACACUAAAGAAAAAAAAAAACACCCCUGAGUCUUUGGCAUUCAUAUUUGUGUGAAAGAAUCUAGAAUGUUCCAAGAAAACUCGUCAGCCAAUUGCUUAAAUAUAAUAACAACAUCUACUGAAGAUGGUGCUUUCCAAAAAAAAGGCCAUAGUGCAAGAGUCCUUAGCCCAGAAGAAGCCGAGAGAUUGGCAAAAGAUCAAGUUUUGGUGUCUGAGUUCAAACAACUCAAACUGGAGAAAGAGGCACAGAAGAACUGGGAUCUAUUUUACAAAAGAAACAGCACUAACUUCUUCAAAGACAGGCAUUGGACAACCAGAGAGUUUGAAGAGCUGAAAGCAUGUCGGGAGUUUGCAGAUCAGAAACUGACCAUUCUGGAAGCAGGCUGCGGGGUUGGGAACUGCUUGUUUCCACUCUUAGAAGAAGAUCUGAAUAUUUUUGCAUAUGCCUGUGAUUUCUCUCCUAGAGCUGUUGAGUAUGUGAAGAAAAAUGCCUUAUACAGUACUGAAAGAUGCAAAGUAUUCCAAUGUGACCUUACCAAAGAUGAUCUUCUAGAAAAUAUACCAGCAGAUUCUGUGGAUGUCGUUAUGCUUAUAUUUGUGCUUUCUGCCAUUCAUCCUGACAAAAUGCAUCUUGUCUUGAAGAACAUUUACAAGGUAUUAAGACCAGGCAAGUGUGUCUUGUUCAGAGACUAUGGACUGUAUGAUCACGCAAUGCUCAGAUUUAAAUCUGGCAGCAAACUUGGAGAAAACUUUUAUGUUAGGCAAGAUGGGACAAGAUCGUAUUUUUUUACUGAAGAGUUCUUGUCUCAGCUUUUCAAGGCUGAGGGAUAUGAGCAAGUGGUCAAUGAAUAUGUGCAGCGUGAAACAGUGAAUAGGAAAGAAGACUUGCGUGUUCCGAGAGUUUUUCUUCAAAGCAAAUUUCAAAAGCCUUUCAACAAGACAUAAGUUCUUGCUGAUUGGCAACAGCAUCGCCCCUUUGAAAUGGAAGCUAGCACGUAAUUUUUCCUUAUGUGUGCUCAUCUCUUUGGUAAACCAGCUAUGACUGCAUCCAGUACCUCUUGUUGGUUUUCAUCAUCAGAUACGAAAUAUGAAUGCUCUUUCUAUUUCGAAUUUAAAAUGGGUUAGUGAUGCAGACAACCUGUUGAAUAUCUGUUUUCCUGCUUCCAAAGUAAAUCCUGUGCAGCAUUGUUGGAGGAUCAGGUGUGGUCAGACACUUGGGAAAGGGUCCAGAGAAGUUGUGUAACCUCCAUCCUUGGAAAUGGACUUGAGCAGCCUGUGGCUUUGAGAGUGGCCCUAUUCUAAGUAGGUAUUUCAUCUCUUGCAGUGUGUAUUAGUAUGUGAUUGAUGGGCUGUCAUUUCACUGGACUUGUGUGUUGCUAGAUGACCCAGUCAUACACAUCUGAUAUGGACCAGACUGAGUAUUUGCCUCCAUUUAUGACAAACUAGCCAUAAGAUGUGAUAACGAUUUUUUUUUCAGCAGUUUUAACACUGGCUGCAUGUGCAUGGAGAUAAAGAAAUAAUAACUUUUCCAGCAGAAAGCCUAACGUUACAAAGUUAACCAGUCAUAAUUUUUUGAGCAAAUUGGAGCUGCCCGAGGUCUUAUUCAGUUGAUAUAUUUAUGAAUACAUUUGCAGCAGAUCAUUGCUUUGCGUCAGGGCACCACAGCUUUUAUUGGUCUGAUACCAUGGGCCCCAAAGCUGGAUUUAUUGUAUCAUCAAACUUUGGCUUCAGAGGAAAAAGAAAUUAAGCCACACAGUUCUCUUAAUGACUCUAUGAGGAAAGUUAUUACUUGACGGGUCUUCUUUUUUUUUUUGUGGAGAGUAUCAUCCUGACGAUUUAUGGAUUUAUGCAUUGCUGACCCCUGCUGUGCAACCCAUUCUUACUUUCUGCCAUACUAGAAAUAAAUAUCAAGUAAUGUUUAUAGUAAAUGAAAAAAUAUGUUUAAAUGGGUGUAACAGUGGUAACAUGAUUAUAGCCUGAGGAGUCAUCAUUUUGUGGCUUUCAUUAGCAAAUACUCAUCUUUAGUACACCAGUUCUGCCAUGACUGCAUGUAGUCUGAGCUCUGUAGAGUUUUAGUGGGCUUGAACCCUGUAACACCACGUUCCCUUACAAGACUGAACAUUUGGUCAUUUUAGAUUAUACAGCACGUAAAUGAGGCUGAAGGAUCCCCUUGAGUGACUCCUUGUCACUUUGGCAGAUGAUUGUCAGCAUAUGCCGAGGCAAGUGCACGGAAGUAAGCAUCUCCAAAAAGGAAAUGAAAUGUAGGCAAGUAUUAAAAACAUGAACUGGAAGAUUUGAGUCAGCCCAGUAGCUGCAGACAGCCAUUGACUUCCUUUUUUCACUGAACUAUUGCCUGAACAAUAAUACAGCUUUUUGUAGCUGUAGCUUCAGUGUUUCUGUGUGUUUCCGCUUGAGGAACUACUGUCACUUUUUGUAUAGCAACUCAUUAAAUGGAGUGGUUCUAAUUUUUUUAUUUCCCAUUCGGUCUCACUUCUAGUCAGACCUGAAAAAUAAAGUAGCAUGCAUUAGUGCCCCUGUCAGAAAGGCCUUCAGCCAUAGUUGUCAUAAGGCAGAGGUUAUUUUGAGGUAAAUGGCCAGAAAGCUUUAUGUUGUCUCUGUGCUUCUGCUUCUGCGAACUCUAAAUCAUUGCAAAUUUUUGUAACUGUGGUAAAGUUUGAGGAAGUUGAGUCAGCUUUAAGAAAUCCUUGCCUCAUCAUGUGAGACAUAACCGAUGGGGUGCAUGUGGCUGUUGUAGUGCUGAGUUAAGUGGAUAAACUCCCUCCCAACCCCUCAGCCUUUCUAAGCUCAGGUAAGCUCAUGCUGAGGAUACCCGUACUUGGCAUCCUUACUUGAAGAACUGUCCUCAGGGAGAUGUGGAUAUCAGGGUAAAUAGUGUCAAAAGGACUUGGAAAAAAUAUACAUGCAACUGAAUCAUGUUUAUGUUGCAGAAACAAGCUGUUAUGUUGUGAUUGUAAUAAAUGGCUUGAUGAAUCUUUAA
Columba livia (rock pigeon) is the source of this 3252-nucleotide RNA transcript. It is a transcript of the gene named methyltransferase 6, tRNA N3-cytidine, with no coding region annotated. Lineage: Eukaryota; Metazoa; Chordata; Aves; Columbiformes; Columbidae. The record is from RefSeq and is a predicted model, not a curated record. The transcript has 7 exons.